This 260-nucleotide ribosomal RNA is filed under the name uncultured bacterium. RNAcentral describes it as "partial 16S ribosomal RNA". It matches the Rfam family "Bacterial small subunit ribosomal RNA", at positions 96 to 354 of the family's 1533-position model. The record is from RNAcentral.
UGGCGGACGGGUGAGUAACGCGUGGGUAACCUGCCUUACACAGGGGGGAUAACACCUGGAAACAGGUGCUAAUACCGCAUAAGCGCACAGGGCCGCAUGGCCCGGUGUGAAAAACUCCGGUGGUGUAAGAUGGACCCGCGUCUGAUUAGCUUGUUGGCGGGGGUAGAGGCCCACCAAGGCGACGAUCAGUAGCCGGCCUGAGAGGGUGGACGGCCACAUUGGGACUGAGACACGGCCCAAACUCCUACGGAAGGCAGCAG